AUUAGUGGCGGACGGGUGAGUAACGCGUGGAUAACCUGCCGUAUACAGGGGGAUAACACUUAGGAAUAGGUGCUAAUACCGCAUAAGCGCACGGUUCCGCAUGGAACAGUGUGAAAAACUCCGGUGGUAUACGAUGGAUCCGCGUCUGAUUAGCCAGUUGGUGGGGUAACGGCCCACCAAAGCGACGAUCAGUAGCCGGCCUGAGAGGGUGAACGGCCACAUUGGGACUGAGACACGGCCCAAACUCCUACGGAAGGCAGCAG
This 263-nucleotide ribosomal RNA is filed under the name uncultured bacterium. RNAcentral's name for it is "partial 16S ribosomal RNA". It matches the Rfam family "Bacterial small subunit ribosomal RNA", at positions 91 to 354 of the family's 1533-position model. The record is from RNAcentral.